RNAcentral lists this ribosomal RNA (495 nucleotides) under uncultured bacterium. RNAcentral's name for it is "partial 16S ribosomal RNA". It matches the Rfam family "Bacterial small subunit ribosomal RNA", at positions 28 to 507 of the family's 1533-position model. The record is from RNAcentral.
GACGAACGCUGGCGGCGUGCCUAAUACAUGCAAGUAGAACGCUGAAGGAGGAGCUUACUUCUCUGGAUGAGUUGCGAACGGGUGAGUAACGCGUAGGUAACCUGCCUGGUAGCGGGGGAUAACUAUUGGAAACGAUAGCUAAUACCGCAUAAUAGCAGUUGUUGCAUGACAACUGUUUGAAAGGUGCAAUUGCACCACUACCAGAUGGACCUGCGUUGUAUUAGCUAGUUGGUGGGGUAACGGCUCACCAAGGCGACGAUACAUAGCCGACCUGAGAGGGUGAUCGGCCACACUGGGACUGAGACACGGCCCAGACUCCUACGGGAGGCAGCAGUAGGGAAUCUUCGGCAAUGGACGGAAGUCUGACCGAGCAACGCCGCGUGAGUGAAGAAGGUUUUCGGAUCGUAAAGCUCUGUUGUAAGAGAAGAACGAGUGUGAGAGUGGAAAGUUCACACUGUGACGGUAUCUUACCAGAAAGGGACGGCUAACUACGUG